UACGGGGGGGGGCAAGCGUUGUUCGGAAUUACUGGGCGUAAAGGGCUCGUAGGCGGCCAACUAAGUCGGAUGUGAAAUCCCCAGGCUUAACCUGGGAACUGCAUCCGAUACUGGAUGGCUUGAAUCCGGGAGAGGGAUGCAGAAUUCCAGGUGUAGCGGUGAAAAUGCGUAGAUAUCUGGAGGAAUACCGGUGGCGAAGGCGGCAUCCUGG
This 211-nucleotide ribosomal RNA is filed under the name uncultured bacterium. RNAcentral's name for it is "partial 16S ribosomal RNA". It matches the Rfam family "Bacterial small subunit ribosomal RNA", at positions 524 to 732 of the family's 1533-position model. The record is from RNAcentral.